GCUCAGAUAAUUUAUACAAAAUAUAAUACUGAAGAUAUUAACAAGACUCUCCGUCUCUGAGCA
RNAcentral lists this transfer RNA (63 nucleotides) under Marphysa tamurai. RNAcentral's name for it is "tRNA-Phe". Lineage: Eukaryota; Metazoa; Annelida; Polychaeta; Eunicida; Eunicidae. The record is from RNAcentral.